Sebastes umbrosus (honeycomb rockfish) is the source of this 94-nucleotide long non-coding RNA. RefSeq lists it as uncharacterized. The transcript is spliced from 3 exons. Lineage: Eukaryota; Metazoa; Chordata; Actinopteri; Perciformes; Sebastidae. The record is from RefSeq and is a predicted model, not a curated record.
AAAGCAAUAUGAUCCAGGUUAAAGCCGCCUGUAACAACAAUUAAUGCAGAAUAGUGAAAUAUAGUUGACAUGCAGCUUUAGCCUGGACAUAUUG